AAAUUUUGCAAUAAAAGCUUGCCUCAUUUGUUUUUUUUUUGCACUCUUUGAACCAAGAUGAAUCUGUUAAUGUACUAUACAUUAAUACUGCUUCUGCUGACUGGUGUAAUGCUUGUGUCUGGAUUUGUGACGGGGAAAAAAUAUUCACGUGACGAAGAAGACGCAAUAUACCGCGAAGAAUCAAGAAGGGCCAGGGAGCAUGCCAGAGCCGCAAAUCAACCCAGAGGAAGAAAGUGAAUAAGUGGACCUACUCUUUCUGGCGUCGCUGCUGGCCGCUGUCAUGAUGGCAGCUGGGAAACCUGUGUCGCAGGAACAGUACACCACGCCGUGUAAACGCAAGUAAAACGCAUCGGUGAACAACCUUCAUGGUUGACAGUUUUACAAACUGUACGUUGAUAACAAUGAAAUAAAUUGUUUGUGAACAAAA
Long non-coding RNA from Culex pipiens pallens (northern house mosquito), 427 nucleotides. RefSeq lists it as uncharacterized. The transcript has 3 exons. The record is from RefSeq and is a predicted model, not a curated record. Lineage: Eukaryota; Metazoa; Arthropoda; Insecta; Diptera; Culicidae.